RNAcentral lists this ribosomal RNA (468 nucleotides) under uncultured bacterium. Its description in RNAcentral is "partial 16S ribosomal RNA". It matches the Rfam family "Bacterial small subunit ribosomal RNA", at positions 28 to 507 of the family's 1533-position model. The record is from RNAcentral.
GACGAACGCUGGCGGCGUGCUUAACACAUGCGAGUCGAACGGAAAGGCCCUGCUUUUGUGGGGUGCUCGAGUGGCGAACGGGUGAGUAACACGUGAGUAACCUGCCCUUGACUUUGGGAUAACUUCAGGAAACUGGGGCUAAUACCGGAUAGGAGCUCCUGCUGCAUGGUGGGGGUUGGAAAGUUUCGGCGGUUGGGGAUGGACUCGCGGCUUAUCAGCUUGUUGGUGGGGUAGUGGCUUACCAAGGCUUUGACGGGUACCCGGCCUGAGAGGGUGACCGGCCACAUUGGGACUGAGAUACGGCCCAGACUCCUACGGGAGGCAGCAGUGGGGAAUAUUGCACAAUGGGCGGAAGCCUGAUGCAGCAACGCCGCGUGCGGGAUGACGGCCUUCGGGUUGUAAACCGCUUUCGCCUGUGACGAAGCGUGAGUGACGGUAAUGGGUAAAGAAGCACCGGCUAACUACGUG